GACGAACGCUGGCGGCGUGCCUAAUACAUGCAAGUUGAGCGCUGAAGGUUGGUACUUGUACCAACUGGAUGAGCAGCGAACGGGUGAGUAACGCGUGGGGAAUCUGCCUUUGAGCGGGGGACAACAUUUGGAAACGAAUGCUAAUACCGCAUAAAAACUUUAAACACAAGUUUUAAGUUUGAAAGAUGCAAUUGCAUCACUCAAAGAUGAUCCCGCGUUGUAUUAGCUAGUUGGUGAGGUAAAGGCUCACCAAGGCGAUGAUACGUAGCCGACCUGAGAGGGUGAUCGGCCACAUUGGGACUGAGACACGGCCCAAACUCCUACGGGAGGCAGCAGUAGGGAAUCUUCGGCAAUGGACGAAAGUCUGACCGAGCAACGCCGCGUGAGUGAAGAAGGGUUUCGGAUCGUAAAACUCGGUUGGUAGAGAAGAACGUUGGUGAGAGUGGAAAGCUCAUCAAGUGACGGUAACUACCCAGAAAGGGACGGCUAACUACGUG
RNAcentral lists this ribosomal RNA (497 nucleotides) under uncultured bacterium. Its description in RNAcentral is "partial 16S ribosomal RNA". It matches the Rfam family "Bacterial small subunit ribosomal RNA", at positions 28 to 507 of the family's 1533-position model. The record is from RNAcentral.